This 1382-nucleotide ribosomal RNA is filed under the name metagenome. RNAcentral's name for it is "bacterial SSU rRNA". It matches the Rfam family "Bacterial small subunit ribosomal RNA". The record is from RNAcentral.
GUUUGAUCCUGGCUCAGGAUGAACGCUGGCGGCGUGCUUAACACAUGCAAGUCGAACGAACCUUCGGGUUAGUGGCGGACGGGUGAGUAACGCGUGGGAAUCUGCCCUCAGGAGGGGGAUAACGGCUGGAAACGGCCGCUAAUACCCCAUAUGCCGAGAGGUGAAAGGAAAUUCGCCUGAGGAUGAGCCCGCGUCUGAUUAGCUAGUUGGUGGGGUAAGAGCUUACCAAGGCGACGAUCAGUAGCUGGUCUGAGAGGAUGAUCAGCCACACUGGGACUGAGACACGGCCCAGACUCCUACGGGAGGCAGCAGUGGGGAAUUUUCCGCAAUGGCGAAAGCCUGACGGAGCAACGCCGCGUGAGGGAUGAAGGCCUCUGGGCUGUAAACCUCUUUUCUCAAGGAAGAAGACAUGACGGUACUUGAGGAAUAAGCCACGGCUAAUUCCGUGCCAGCAGCCGCGGUAAUACGGGAGUGGCAAGCGUUAUCCGGAAUUAUUGGGCGUAAAGCGUCCGCAGGCGGCCCUGUAGGUCUGUCGUUAAAGCGUGGAGCUUAACUCCAUUUAAGCGAUGGAAACUACAGGGCUUGAGUGUGGUAGGGGCAGAGGGAAUUCCCGGUGUAGCGGUGAAAUGCGUAGAUAUCGGGAAGAACACCAGUGGCGAAGGCGCUCUGCUGGGCCAUAACUGACGCUCAUGGACGAAAGCCAGGGGAGCGAAAGGGAUUAGAUACCCCUGUAGUCCUGGCCGUAAACGAUGAACACUAGGUGUCGGGGGAAUCGACCCCCUCGGUGUCGUAGCCAACGCGUUAAGUGUUCCGCCUGGGGAGUACGCACGCAAGUGUGAAACUCAAAGGAAUUGACGGGGGCCCGCACAAGCGGUGGAGUAUGUGGUUUAAUUCGAUGCAACGCGAAGAACCUUACCAGGGUUUGACAUCCUGCGAAUCCCUUGGAAACGAGGGAGUGCCUUCGGGAGCGCAGAGACAGGUGGUGCAUGGCUGUCGUCAGCUCGUGUCGUGAGAUGUUGGGUUAAGUCCCGCAACGAGCGCAACCCACGUCUUUAGUUGCCAGCAUUCAGUUGGGCACUCUAGAGAGACCGCCGGUGAUAAACCGGAGGAAGGUGUGGAUGACGUCAAGUCAUCAUGCCCCUUACAUCCUGGGCUACACACGUACUACAAUGCUACGGACAAAGGGCAGCAAGCUCGCGAGAGUUAGCAAAUCCCAUAAACCGUGGCUCAGUUCAGAUCGUAGGCUGCAACUCGCCUACGUGAAGGAGGAAUCGCUAGUAAUCGCAGGUCAGCAUACUGCGGUGAAUACGUUCCCGGGCCUUGUACACACCGCCCGUCACACCAUGGAAGUUGGCCAUGCCCGAAGUCGUUACUCCAACCCG